RNAcentral lists this ribosomal RNA (445 nucleotides) under uncultured bacterium. Its description in RNAcentral is "bacterial SSU rRNA". It matches the Rfam family "Bacterial small subunit ribosomal RNA", at positions 354 to 796 of the family's 1533-position model. The record is from RNAcentral.
GUGAGGAAUAUUGGUCAAUGGGCGAGAGCCUGAACCAGCCAAGUAGCGUGCAGGAUGACGGCCCUAUGGGUUGUAAACUGCUUUUAUAGGGGAAUAAAGUGAGCUACGUGUAGUUUUUUGCAUGUACCCUAUGAAUAAGGACCGGCUAAUUCCGUGCCAGCAGCCGCGGUAAUACGGAAGGUCCGGGCGUUAUCCGGAUUUAUUGGGUUUAAAGGGAGCGCAGGCGGCGGCGUAAGUCAGUUGUGAAAUCGUGCGGCUUAACCGUGCAAUUGCAGUUGAUACUGCGUCGCUUGAGUGCACACAGGGAUGUUGGAAUUCAUGGUGUAGCGGUGAAAUGCUUAGAUAUCACGAAGAACUCCGAUCGCGAAGGCAUUGUGCCGGGGCAUAACUGACGCUGAGGCUCGAAAGUGCGGGUAUCAAACAGGAUUAGAAACCCCGGUAGUCC